UACGUAGGGACCAAGCGUUGUUCGGAUUUACUGGGCGUAAAGGGCGCGUAGGCGGCUAUUCAAGUCAGUUGUGAAAUCUCCGAGCUUAACUCGGAACGGUCAACUGAUACUGUUUUGCUAGAGUACAGAAGGGGCAAUCGGAAUUCUUGGUGUAGCGGUGAAGUGCGUAGAUAUCAAGAGGAACACCUGAGGUGAAGACGGGUUGCUGGGCUGAUACUGACGCUGAGGCGCGAAAGCUAGGGUAGCAAACGGG
This 253-nucleotide ribosomal RNA is filed under the name uncultured bacterium. RNAcentral describes it as "partial 16S ribosomal RNA". It matches the Rfam family "Bacterial small subunit ribosomal RNA", at positions 524 to 776 of the family's 1533-position model. The record is from RNAcentral.